This 333-nucleotide unclassified non-coding RNA is filed under the name uncultured fungus. RNAcentral describes it as "partial contains small subunit ribosomal RNA, internal transcribed spacer 1, and 5.8S ribosomal RNA". The stretch from base 1 to 73 matches the Rfam family "Eukaryotic small subunit ribosomal RNA", at positions 1759 to 1831 of the family's 1831-position model. The record is from RNAcentral. Lineage: Eukaryota; Fungi.
GCAAACUUGGUCAUUUAGAGGAAGUAAAAGUCGUAACAAGGUUUCCGUAGGUGAACCUGCGGAAGGAUCAUUAUUGAACAAACCGGUGUCGGCUGAGCUGGCCUUUUCGGAGGCAUGUGCACGGCCCACCAUUGUUUCAUCCUUCUCUUCCACCUGUGCACUUCUGUGGGCCCACUCCAGCACACACACCCGUGUGCUGGAAUCUGGUGCCUACGCUUUACUACCCACACCAUUGAAUGUUCAGAAUGCAUGAAUAGGGCGUUCUCGCCCAUAAAACCUUAUACAACUUUCAACAACGGAUCUCUUGGCUCUCGCAUCGAUGAAGAACGCAGC